CACCUCUGGGGAGCCCCUUGGUAGGGGUACAAAGAUCGUUCUCUAUCUUAAGGAGGACCAGCUUGAGUAUCUUGAGGAGCGCUGCCUCAAGGAUUUGGUCAAGAAGCACUCUGAGUUCAUCAGCUACCCAAUCUCCCUCUGGAUUGAGAAGACUACUGAGAAGGAGAUUUCUGAUGACGAGGAUGAAGAAGAAAAAAAGGAUGAGGAAGGAAAGGUAGAGGAUGUUGAUGAAGAGAAGGAGAAGGAAGAGAAGAAAAAGAAGAAGAUCAAGGAGGUGUCCCACGAGUGGUCUUUGGUGAACAAGCAGAAACCCAUCUGGAUGAGGAAGC
Molecule: long non-coding RNA, 329 nt
Filed under: Populus trichocarpa (black cottonwood)
Lineage: Eukaryota; Viridiplantae; Streptophyta; Magnoliopsida; Malpighiales; Salicaceae
Description: long non-coding RNA (PTRI_LNC000516)
Source: RNAcentral